RNAcentral lists this unclassified non-coding RNA (207 nucleotides) under Hevea brasiliensis (rubber tree). Lineage: Eukaryota; Viridiplantae; Streptophyta; Magnoliopsida; Malpighiales; Euphorbiaceae. The record is from RNAcentral.
AGUUUCAUCUUUAAUGUAAUGAGUUGGACUCGAAUGGUGCGAAAUGGUUGCGGAGGAUUCAUUUAGCCGGCCUUGACUUUGUUUGGAAUUAAGGCGUAAUGGAUGAUGGAGUGACACAAUAUUAUACAUCUCUAGCUUACGAGGGCAUGACUCUAAAUAGGAAGAUUUGGAGGUCGAGUAUUAGGACAGGAAGGUAAUAGGUUGCUG